This 492-nucleotide ribosomal RNA is filed under the name uncultured bacterium. RNAcentral describes it as "partial 16S ribosomal RNA". It matches the Rfam family "Bacterial small subunit ribosomal RNA", at positions 29 to 507 of the family's 1533-position model. The record is from RNAcentral.
AGUGAACGCUGGCGGUAGGCCUAACACAUGCAAGUCGAACGGCAGCACAGUAAGAGCUUGCUCUUACGGGUGGCGAGUGGCGGACGGGUGAGGAAUACAUCGGAAUCUACUUUUUCGUGGGGGAUAACGUAGGGAAACUUACGCUAAUACCGCAUACGACCUACGGGUGAAAGCAGGGGAUCUUCGGACCUUGCGCGAUUGAAUGAGCCGAUGUCGGACUAGCUAGUUGGCGGGGUAAUGGCCCACCAAGGCGACGAUCCGUAGCUGGUCUGAGAGGAUGAUCGGCCACACUGGAACUGAGACACGGUCCAGACUCCUACGGGAGGCAGCAGUGGGGAAUAUUGGACAAUGGGGGCAAGCCUGAUCCAGCCAUACCGCGUGGGUGAAGAAGGCCUUCGGGGUGUAAAGCCCUUUUGUUGGGAAAGAAAAGCAGCAGGUUAAUACCCCGCUGUUCUGACGGUACCCAAAGAAUAAGCACCGGCUAACUUCGUG